This is a long non-coding RNA of Oncorhynchus tshawytscha (Chinook salmon), 4661 nucleotides long. The record is from Ensembl. Lineage: Eukaryota; Metazoa; Chordata; Actinopteri; Salmoniformes; Salmonidae.
CUAAAAUGGAAAGACGUCUGUCCAUGAUUGGACAUUGCUCUGCCUUCUUGACAUCUCAGUCGACCAGACAAGUCUUACAGGCCCUAGUUUUGUCGCACCUGGACUACUGCCCUGCUGUGUGGUCAUGUGCGGCAGAGAAGGACAUAGGUCAGUUGCAGUUGGUCCAGAACAAAGCAACGCAUAUUGCACUUAGAUGUACAUAGAGGGAAAGUGUCACUAACAUGCAUGUCUCUCCUGGCUAAAAGUUGAGGAGAGUUUGACUGCAUUACUAUUGGUCUUUGUGCAGGGUAUUGAUGUGUUUAAAAUACCGAACUGUCUGUUCAAGCAGCUGGCACGGAGUUCAGACAUUCAUUGGUACAACAUAAGGCAUGCAACCACAGGUCUCUUCACAGUCCCCAGGUCCAGAACAUAGGCUGGGAAAGGCACAGUAUUAAAUAGAUUCAUGACACUACAUGGCACUCUCUAUCACCCCAGGUAACUCAAGCUUGUUACGUCUACUCCUGCUCCUCCCCUCCGGCGUUUGACGUCGCCGGAAUACUAACCACUGGUCCUGGGAUCCAUCAUUACAUACACCUGGCAUCAUCAUUACGCGCAGAUCAUCGUGAUACUCACCUGGACUUCCUGAUUUCCUCCUCUAUAUCUGUCACUCCCUUGGGUUCCGUCCUCAGUCAAUAUAGUUCCUGUGUUCAUGCGUAAACGCCGCUGUUAUGUUGUGUUGUUUCAUGUUUGUUGUUUUAUUAUUAUUAUUUUUUUAUUAUACAUUUUGCCCCCUUUUCUCCCCAAUUUCGUGGUAUCCAAUUGUUAGUAAUUACUAUCUUGUCUCAUCACGACAACUCCCGUACAGGCUCGGGAGAGACGAAGGUCGAAAGCCAUGCAUCCUCCGAAACAGAACCCAACCCAUCCAAGCCGCACUGCUUCUUAACACAGCGCGCAUCCAACCCGGAAGCCAGCCACACCAAUGUGUCGGAGGAAACGCCGUGCACCUGGCGACCUUGGUUAGCGUGUACUGCGCCCGGCCCGCCACAGGAGUCGCUGGUGCGCGAUGAGACAAGGAUAUCCCUACCGGCCAAACCCUCCCUAACCUGCAUGAUGCUAGGCCGACCUCCCGGUCACGGCCGGCUGCAACAGAGCCUGGGUGGCACAGUCUCUGGUGGCACAGCUAGCGCUGCGAUGCAGUGCCCUAGACCACUGCGCCACCCGGGAGGCCCGUUUGUUGUUUUAUUAAAUGUUUCACCUGCACCUGCUUCUCGACUCACAGCAUCUCCGUUACAAAGCUAGCAAUAAAAACGGAUAAAUAGCACCUUAUUGUACCAAAGGGUACUGUGAAGAGACACAGCCAUUUUAUAUCAUCUAUCUUGUAUUGUAAUUUGCACUGUACCAUGUAUAAAACCUAGGCUAUGUGUGAUGCUUUACAUGUAUGUAUUUCAGUCCUUGACUAAUAAUCUUCUAUACUAUGUAUGAUGUCAUGUUUCAUGUGGACCCCAGGAAGAGUAGCUGAUGCUUUUGCAGUGGCUAAUGGGGAUGGUAAUAAAUACAAAUGCCAAGUAGGGAUUACCAGGGAUGUUCUGUUGAUAAAUGCAGGAAUCGGACCAUUUUCCAGUCCCGCUAAGCAUUCGAAAUGUAACGUAUGGAGUAAAAAGUACAUUAUUUACUUCAGGAAUGUAGUUAAAGUAAAAGUUGUCAAAAAUAUAAAUAGUAAAGUACAGAUACCCCCCAAAAAAUCUUGCACUGACCUUGGUAGACAGACUGACAGAGAUGUGACAAUCAAUUCAAAUAUAUUUUUCUUUUUGUUUAUAUAUUUUUGCAUGUGUAGUAUCCUUCUGACCCUAUGCAGCCAGGUCCAUUAUACUUUUUAAUUCCUCGCAAGUGAGGCUUGUUUGGUGCCUGCUGUGAAGGAAUACCACAACAAGUCAACUACUUGAUUGAUGGCGGCAUGUCAUCCACCAAAUGCAACAGCGCAGUCAACUAUGUGCACCAUUUAUUUGCAAACUAUGGAGUUGGGGAAACACGUGUGGACCUGGAUUGUGAAAACUGUAGUGGCCAAAACAAGAACAGGUGUGUGCUCUGGUAUUGCACCUGGCAGACCAUUCACAAGCUCCACCAGUCUGGAACUUCCCUUCCUGAUCGCAGGCCAUACCAAGCCAUACCAAGCCAAACCAGACCUUCAGAAAGACCAGAGUGACCACCUUGUCAGAGAAUGCUGGUGUGGUGAAGGACAGCACUGUGACGGGUCAGCAUCCCACAGCUAGUUGAACUGGAGGACCGUACACAGCUGGUGGAAAGCUAUGGCUGGCAAGAACACCUGACUCCGUACUUCAGGCCACUGGCACAGAUCAAGCCAUACCAGCAUUUCAGGAAUGUCCGGACUCAGUUGGGACCAGGUUUCAGAUGCUUUGCAACGCUGAUAUCCUUCCUCCCAGAGAUGCUAUGCCUGUACAAGCACCACCUGGACUGGACACAACUCAACAAACAUAUAUUUUGGAGAGGUUCAGAGAGUUUCGCGACAAAGAGGCCAUGGACAUCACAUGCCCUGCACCAAAUUUGAGGGCAGGACAGAAACAGGCUCUCUGAAUUUAUACUCCCUCGUCCCUGGGGGGCGAAUUCCCAGUCAUCGAGGACAUUUGUGACUCGUUUCAGGAAACUAGGCAUACGUAUGUCGCAUGUUACUACUUCACAGGAGAGGCAUUUGAACGUAAACAAGUAUUUUUUAUCAAAACGCAUUUUUUGGGAGAAAUGCCUUCUGGAACAUGUGAAAGUUCAUGUGCCUUAAUAACAAACUUGUCUGCCAUCUGUAAAUACCAAUGGAAUGGUUGAAUUACCAGCCUAGUUGGAAGUUACUAGCCUAGCCACGGAAAAAGACAGGAAGCGAUUUGCAUUGCUAGUUAUAGCCAAAUGUUAGCCAGGUAGCUAACAUUGAACCUAGUUGGUUAAAUGAAGUUACCUGCAGAUUCAUGCAUGGUAGAAAUGUUAUCAGUUGGGAUUAGGGUUCAUUUUGUAAAUAGCUAGCUAGCUACAUGUCUAAUCAAAAGACUCCACUAUGCAAGUAACCAUUUCACUGUACUGUUCACACCUUCUGUAUCCUGUAAAUAUGACAAAGAAACUUUGAUUUGAUUUGAUAUAGUGUGUGUUUACCAGAGACGGUAAUGCGAAGAACAACAUGAUCUGCACCAAAGUCAAAUUAGGAUAUAAUGUUAGGCCAGCGAGACAGUGUCUCCAUUAGAAUACCUUACUUCUAUUUCGGCACACUAACAACCGUAAGCUAUUUUCUGUAUAAUUAGCUUGCCAUUAACUUGUAAAUCAUGAUCUUGUUGUGAGUUUAUUUUCCUGUAAUAAUAUAUAAAUAUUAGCUAAAGUUAAGAUGUUGUCAGCUAUGAUAUAGUCAUUAUUUGAACUGGACAGCCAGCUAACUUAACAUUAGCGAGCUAGCUAGUUAACGAGCUAGAAACUAACCAAAACAUUGUUAAGGAAGUUGCUUUAAAUAUUCAUUUUUAAACAGAUGGGUUUGUUGGUGUUAAAAUGCACCAGUUAUGCUAUUUUGGACCACCAGGCAGCCUGUUGUUUUUGUGUUUAUACUUUUUCAUAUCAACAAGUUUCAUGUUGGAUGACAUGAUGUCACUAGGACAACUGUAGUCUUGAAAUCUUUGGUCCUUUAGCGUAUGGCCUCACAUGUGAACCCUUAAAGAGAUGGGUGGGGAUAAGCCUUAAGAGAGUGUGAACAAAGCUGAAGGGGUUAUAGACAAAGAGCUCUCCGGUAGUUGUACCAAAAAACUCAAGGGCCAUUUAAAAAAAAAAAUAGGGUUACAAGUUUAUUAACUUUCAAAGCAGAAUUACUUUCCCAUUGUUCAUCAACUGUGGUGUAUGAUAUACAUUUUAUAGUUCUCUACUUUUAUCCAAUGUUAAAAACAGAAUUUCAAAUGUUGCUACAUACAGUAGGACUGAAUUCAGGUGGUCGGUCACAUUUACACAAGGAGGAAGGCCCUCAACAUCAGACUCCAACCACCCUAGCCAUAGACUGUUCUUGUUGCUACCGCCGGGAAGACGGUACCGAACCAUCAGGUCCCGGACCAACAGGCUCCCAGACAACUUUGGCUGUCUCUUAAUGGCUGUUCACCUGCACCCUUGGAUUGUCUGCACUGUCUCUAUGCACAUGUACAUCACUCUCUCCUAACCCUGAUACACACACACACACACACACGCACACACACACGCAGAAACAUACACACACACACUCACACACACACAGAAACAUUCACACACACACACACACACACACACACAACCACUAUGUUGCUGCUACUAUUUACAUUUAUCCUGCUGCUCAGUUUACCCCUGAUUGUAUGCAUAUAUCUACCUCAUCUAUCACCAGUAUCACUGAUUUCAUUAUUGAUAUUUUUCUUGUACAUUUUGUUCUUUCUCAACUGGCAUUGACACUUUAUCUUCUAUUUUUUAAAUAUAUUGAUACCUUUCUUUUGACAAAUUAAUACGGCACUGUUGAGAAAGAGCUUUUCACUGUACUGUUUACACAUGUUGUAUCCUGUGCACGUGACAUGUAAACGUUGAUAUGGUUUGGUUUGAUUUGAUAUGUAGUGUGUUUACUAGAGACAAUGUGAAGAACAACAUGUUAGGACAUAGAGCAAGGACUAGAUUAAAUGUAUUUUUAC